RNAcentral lists this ribosomal RNA (253 nucleotides) under uncultured bacterium. Its description in RNAcentral is "partial 16S ribosomal RNA". It matches the Rfam family "Bacterial small subunit ribosomal RNA", at positions 524 to 776 of the family's 1533-position model. The record is from RNAcentral.
UACGUAGGGGGCAAGCGUUGUCCGGAUUUAUUGGGCGUAAAGAGCGUGUAGGCGGCCGUACAGGUCAGCUGUGAAAACUCGAGGCUCAACCUCGAGACGUCGGUUGAAACCGUACGGCUAGAGUCCGGAAGAGGAGAGUGGAAUUCCCGGUGUAGCGGUGAAAUGCGCAGAUAUCGGGAAGAACACCCGUGGCGAAGGCGAGUCUCUGGACAUUUCCUGACGCUGAGGCACGAAAGCCAGGGGAGCAAACGGG